ACUCCUACGGGAGGCAGCAGUGGGAAUAUUGGACAAUGGGGCAGGCCUAGAUGCAGCCAUGCCGCGUGUGUGAAGAAGGCCUUCGGGUUGUAAAGCACUUUCAGUCGUGAGGAAGGUAGUGUAGUUAAUAGCUGCAUUAUUUGACGUUAGCGACAGAAGAAGCACCGGCUAACUCCGUGCCAGCAGCCGCGGUAAUACGGAGGGUGCGAGCGUUAAUCGGAAUUACUGGGCGUAAAGCGCAUGCAGGUGGUUUGUUAAGUCAGAUGUGAAAGCCCGGGGCUCAAGCCUCGGAAUUGCAUUU
RNAcentral lists this ribosomal RNA (301 nucleotides) under uncultured bacterium. RNAcentral describes it as "bacterial SSU rRNA". It matches the Rfam family "Bacterial small subunit ribosomal RNA", at positions 335 to 628 of the family's 1533-position model. The record is from RNAcentral.